UUAAAAGUAAUUAAGAGCAAAUGGCGGAUGCCUAGGCUCUCAGAGGCGAUGAAGGACGUGGUAAGCUGCGAUAAGCUACGGUAAGGUGCAAACAACCAUUACAACCGUAGAUUUCCGAAUGGGGCAACCCUCCCGAUUGAAGAUCGGAACCCGAAUAGGGGCUAACCCAGGGAACUGAAACAUCUAAGUACCUGGAGGAAAAGAAAACAAUAGUGAUUCCCUAAGUAGUGGCGAGCGAACAGGGAGUAGCCCAAACCAAAGUAAUUUCGGUUGCUUUGGGGUUGUAGGACCACGUUGUGGUUUUGUUAUCAGAAGUAGAAAACAUCUGGAAAGAUAUACCAAAGAGGGUGAUAGUCCCGUAUACGUAUAGUUAACAAAACCUAGUGGUAUCCUGAGUAGCGCGGGACCGGAGAAAUCCUGCGUGAAUCUGCCGGCACCAUCCGGUAAGGCUAAAUACUCUCAGUGACCGAUAGUGAACUAGUACCGUGAGGGAAAGGUGAAAAGCACCCCGAAGGGGGAGUGAAAUAGUACCUGAAACCAUUUGCUUACAACCGGUCAGAGCCUGAUUUAUCUGGGUGAUGACGUGCCUUUUGCAUAAUGAUCCUACGAGUUACUCGUCACUGGCAAGGUUAAGGAACCUAGUUCUGAAGCCGCAGCGAAAGCAAGUCUGAAUAGGGCGACUAGUCAGUGGCGGUAGACGCGAAACCUUGUGAUCUACCCAUGAGCAGGUUGAAGUUCCGGUAACACGGCAUGGAGGACCGAACCAGUAAACGUUGAAAAGUUUUGGAUGACUUGUGGGUAGGGGUGAAAGGCCAAUCAAACUGGGAGAUAGCUCGUACUCCUCGAAAUGCCUUUAGGGGCAGCCUCGGAAUGUAAGUGUUAUAGAGGUAGAGCUACCGAUUGGACUAGGGGCUUCAUCGCCUACCAAAUCCUGACGAACUCCGAAUGCUAUAACACAUGUCCAGGAGUGAGGCCGGGGGUGCUAAGGUCACCGGCCGAGAGGGAAACAACCCAGACCAUCAGCUAAGGUCCCCAAAUCUAUAUUAAGUUGCACAAACGAUGUCCGAUUGCUAUAACAGCCAGGAUGUUUGCUUGGAAGCAGCAAUCAUUUAAAGAGUGCGUAACAGCUCACUAGUCGAGUGAUCGAGCGCGGAAAAUAAUCGGGCAUCAAGUGUACCACCGAAGCUAUGGAUUAGCAGCAAAUGCUGUUAGUGGUAGAGGAGCAUUCCAGUCUGCUGCGAAGGUGUAUCGUGAGGUAUGCUGGAGCGUCUGGAAAAGAAAAUGUAGGUAUAAGUAACGAUAAAAUGGGUGAGAAACAUAUUCGCCGUAAGAUAAGGGUUCCUGAUCAACGUUAAUCGGAUCAGGGUUAGUCGGGGCCUAAGGUGCACCCGAGAGGGGAAACCGAUGGGAAAGGAGUUAAUAUUCUUGUACCAGCUUAUGCUGCGAUGGGGUGACGGAGUAGUGAAAGUCCUGCGUACGGACGGAAGUGUACGUUAAAGGGUGUAGUUUAUGAGAGGGCCAGGCAAAUCCAGUCCUUGAGAUGAAACCCGAUAGUACCGCGAUCUUUUAAGAGAGCGGAUAAUGGACCUAAUCAUACUUCCAAGAAAAACCUCUAAGCUUCAGGCAUAAGCUGCCCGUACCGCAAACCGACACAGGUAGUCGAGGAGAGUAUCCUCAGGCGCUCGAGUGAUUCACGGCUAAGGAACUCGGCAAAAUAGACCCGUAACUUCGGGAGAAGGGUCGCCCCGCGCAAGCGGGGCCGCAGUAAAAAGGCUCAGGCGACUGUUUAGCAAAAACACAGGGCUCUGCAAAAUCGAAAGAUGAAGUAUAGGGCCUGACACCUGCCCGGUGCUGGAAGGUUAAGGAAGCUUGUUAGUGGGAAACUGCGAAGCUUGUAACUGAAGCCCCAGUAAACGGCGGCCGUAACUAUAACGGUCCUAAGGUAGCGAAAUUCCUUGUCGGGUAAGUUCCGACCUGCACGAAUGGUGUAACGAUCUGAGCACUGUCUCGGCCGUGAGCUCGGUGAAAUUGUAGCCCCGGUGAAGAUGCCGGGUACCCGCAACGGGACGGAAAGACCCCGUGAACCUUCACUAUAGCUUUGCAUUGGUUUUGAGUAAAUAAUGUGUAGGAUAGGUGGGAGGCUGCGAAGCAGGCACGCUAGUGUUUGUGGAGCCGUCCUUGAAAUACCACCCUUUAUUUACUUAGAGUCUAACUCUUUGAAAGAGGACAGUGCAUGGUGGGUAGUUUGACUGGGGUGGUCGCCUCCAAAAGAGUAACGGAGGCUUUCAAAGGUACCCUCAGCACGCUUGGUAACCGUGCGUAGAGCGCAAUAGUAUAAGGGUGCUUGACUGUAAGACCGACGGGUCAAGCAGGUAGGAAACUAGGAUAUAGUGAUCCGGUGGUUCCGUAUGGAAGGGCCAUCGCUCAUAGGAUAAAAGGUACUCCGGGGAUAACAGGCUGAUCCUACCCAAGAGCUCAUAUCGACGGUAGGGUUUGGCACCUCGAUGUCGGCUCGUCACAUCCUGGGGCUGGAGAAGGUCCCAAGGGUUGGGCUGUUCGCCCAUUAAAGUGGCACGCGAGCUGGGUUCAGAACGUCGCAAGACAGUUCGGUCCCUAUCUGUUGUGGGCGUUUGAGAUUUGAGGAGAUCUGACUCUAGUACGAGAGGACCGGGUCGGACUGACCACUAGUGUACCUGUUAUGGCGCCAGCUGUAUCGCAGGGUAGCUAUGUCGGGAAUGGAUAAGCGCUGAAAGCAUCUAAGCACGAAACCAACUCCAAGAUUAGAUCUCGUAGGGCUGUGGAAGAUUACCACGUUGAUAGGCUACAGGUGUAAAGGCAGUAAUGUCAUAGCCGAGUAGUACUAAUUGCCCGUAAGCUUUUAAAA
RNAcentral lists this ribosomal RNA (2884 nucleotides) under Bacteroidota bacterium. Its description in RNAcentral is "Bacteroidetes bacterium (activated sludge metagenome) 23S ribosomal RNA". It matches the Rfam family "Bacterial large subunit ribosomal RNA". Lineage: Bacteria; Pseudomonadati; Bacteroidota. The record is from RNAcentral.